Molecule: transfer RNA, 90 nt
Filed under: Anaerolineae bacterium
Lineage: Bacteria; Bacillati; Chloroflexota; Anaerolineae
Also listed under: 1 other name
Description: tRNA-Ser
Rfam family: tRNA
About the family: Transfer RNA (tRNA) molecules are approximately 80 nucleotides in length. Their secondary structure includes four short double-helical elements and three loops (D, anti-codon, and T loops).
Source: RNAcentral
GGAGAGGUCGCAUAGCUUGGCUUAGUGCGCGCGCCUGGAAAGCGCGUAGGGCCUUAUUGGUCCUCGAGGGUUCAAAUCCCUCCCUCUCCG